UACGAAGGGGGCUAGCGUUGCUCGGAAUCACUGGGCGUAAAGGGUGCGUAGGCGGGUCUUAAGUCAGGGGUGAAAUCCUGGAGCUCAACUCCAGAACUGCCUUUGAUACUGGCGAUCUUGAGUCCGGAAGAGGUGAGUGGAACUCCUAGUGUAGAGGUGGAAUUCGUAGAUAUUAGGAAGAACACCAGUGGCGAAGGCGGCUCACUGGUCCGGUACUGACGCUGAGGUGCGAAAGCGUGGGGAGCAAACAGG
This 252-nucleotide ribosomal RNA is filed under the name uncultured bacterium. Its description in RNAcentral is "partial 16S ribosomal RNA". It matches the Rfam family "Bacterial small subunit ribosomal RNA", at positions 524 to 776 of the family's 1533-position model. The record is from RNAcentral.